AACGGUCUAUACCUGCGGUACCUGCGGAGGGAUCAUUACCGAGUUUACAACUCCCAAACCCAAUGUGAACCAUACCAAACUGUUGCCUCGGCGGGGUCACGCCCCGGGUGCGUCGCAGCCCCGGAACCAGGCGCCCGCCGGAGGGACCAACCAAACUCUUUCUGUAGUCCCCUCGCGGACGUUAUUUCUUACAGCUCUGAGCAAAAAUUCAAAAUGAAUCAAAACUUUUAACAAUGGAUC
RNAcentral lists this unclassified non-coding RNA (240 nucleotides) under soil metagenome. Its description in RNAcentral is "partial contains 5.8S ribosomal RNA, internal transcribed spacer 2, and large subunit ribosomal RNA". The record is from RNAcentral.